This 895-nucleotide ribosomal RNA is filed under the name uncultured bacterium. Its description in RNAcentral is "bacterial SSU rRNA". It matches the Rfam family "Bacterial small subunit ribosomal RNA", at positions 505 to 1398 of the family's 1533-position model. The record is from RNAcentral.
GUGGCAGCAGCCGCGGUAAUACGGAGGGUACAAGCGUUAAUCGGAAUUACUGGGCGUAAAGCGCGCGUAGGCGGUUAAGUAAGUUGGAUGUGAAAGCCCUGGGCUCAACCUAGGAACUGCAUUCAAAACUAUUUAACUAGAGUACGAGAGAGGAGAGUAGAAUUUCUAGUGUAGCGGUGAAAUGCGUAGAUAUCAGAAGGAAUACCAAUGGCGAAGGCAGCUCUCUGGAUCGUCACUGACGCUAAGGUGCGAAAGCGUGGGUAGCAAACAGGAUUAGAUACCCUGGUAGUCCACGCCGUAAACGAUGAGGACUAGCCGUUGGGGAGAAUUAACUCUCCAGUGGCACAGCUAACGCAUUAAGUUCUCCGCCUGGGGACUACGGCCGCAAGGCUAAAACUCAAAUGAAUUGACGGGGGCCCGCACAAGCGGUGGAUCAUGUGGUUUAAUUCGAUGCAACGCGAAGAACCUUACCUACCCUUGAAAUCCAGCGAAGUUCCUAGAGAUAGGAAUGUGCCUUCGGGAACGCUGUGACAGGUGUUGCAUGGCUGUCGUCAGCUCGUGUCGUGAGAUGUAUGGUUAAGUCCAGUAACGAGCGCAACCCCUAUCCUUAUUUGCCAGCGCAUAAUGGCGGGAACUAUAAGGAGACUGCCGGUCAUAAACCGGAGGAAGGCGGGGACGACGUCAAGUCAUCAUGGCCCUUAUGGGUAGGGCUACACACGUGAUACAAUGGGUGGUACAGAGGGUCGCCAAAGCGCGAGCUGGAGCCAAACCCUUAAAACCAUUCUUAGUCCGGAUUGGAGUCUGCAACUCGACUCCAUGAAGUUGGAAUCGCUAGUAAUCGCGAAUCAGAAUGUCGCGGUGAAUACGUUCUCGGGCCUUGCACACACCGCCCGUC